This 468-nucleotide ribosomal RNA is filed under the name uncultured bacterium. RNAcentral describes it as "partial 16S ribosomal RNA". It matches the Rfam family "Bacterial small subunit ribosomal RNA", at positions 36 to 507 of the family's 1533-position model. The record is from RNAcentral.
UCCUCCCUCUUUCUUCGUGCUUAACACAUGCAAGUCGAACGGAAAGGCCCUGCUUUUGUGGGGUGCUCGAGUGGCGAACGGGUGAGUAGCACGUGAGUAACCUGCCCUUGACUUUGGGAUAACUUCAGGAAACUGGGGCUAAUACCGGAUAGGAGCUCCUGCUGCAUGGUGGGGGUUGGAAAGUUUCGGCGGUUGGGGAUGGACUCGCGGCUUAUCAGCUUGUUGGUGGGGUAGUGGCUUACCAAGGCUUUGACGGGUAGCCGGCCUGAGAGGGUGACCGGCCACAUUGGGACUGAGAUACGGCCCAGACUCCUACGGGAGGCAGCAGUGGGGAAUAUUGCACAAUGGGCGGAAGCCUGAUGCAGCAACGCCGCGUGCGGGAUGACGGCCUUCGGGUUGUAAACCGCUUUCGCCUGUGACGAAGCGUGAGUGACGGUAAUGGGUAAAGAAGCACCGGCUAACUACGUG